RNAcentral lists this unclassified non-coding RNA (316 nucleotides) under plant metagenome. RNAcentral's name for it is "partial contains 5.8S ribosomal RNA, internal transcribed spacer 2, and large subunit ribosomal RNA". The stretch from base 1 to 105 matches the Rfam family "5.8S ribosomal RNA", at positions 50 to 154 of the family's 154-position model. The record is from RNAcentral.
GAAAUGCGAUAACUAGUGUGAAUUGCGGAAUUCCGUGAAUCAUCGAGUCUUUGAACGCACAUUGCGCCCCCUGGUAUUCCGGGGGGCAUGCCUGUCCGAGCGUCAUUGCUGCCCAUCAAGCACGGCUUGUGUGUUGGGUCGUCGUCCCCUCUCCGGGGGGGACGGGCCCCAAAGGCAGCGGCGGCACCGCGUCCGAUCCUCGAGCGUAUGGGGCUUUGUCACCCGCUCUGUAGGCCCGGCCGGCGCUUGCCGAACGCAAAUCAAUCUUUUUCCAGGUUGACCUCGGAUCAGGUAGGGAUACCCGCUGAACUUAAGC